CGAUAACGAACGAGACCUCGGCCCUUAAAUAGCCCGGUCCGCAUUUGCGGGCCGCUGGCUUCUUAGGGGGACUAUCGGCUCAAGCCGAUGGAAGUGCGCGGCAAUAACAGGUCUGUGAUGCCCUUAGAUGUUCUGGGCCGCACGCGCGCUACACUGACAGUAACAUUUAGUAUACCUCCACUGACAAGUUGGGGCAAUCUCGUGAAAUGCUGUCGUGUUUGGGAUAGUCCCUUGCAAUUAUUGGACUUGAACGAGGAAUUCCUAGUAAGCGCCAGUCAUCAACUUGUGCUGAUUAUGUCCCUGCCCUUUGUACACACCGCCCGUCGCUACUACCGGAUUGAAUGGC
This 346-nucleotide ribosomal RNA is filed under the name uncultured fungus. Its description in RNAcentral is "bacterial SSU rRNA". It matches the Rfam family "Eukaryotic small subunit ribosomal RNA", at positions 1326 to 1697 of the family's 1831-position model. Lineage: Eukaryota; Fungi. The record is from RNAcentral.